UAGGGAAUCUUCGGCAAUGGACGAAAGCCUGACCGAGCAACGCCGCGUGAGUGAAGAAGGCUUUCGGAUCGUAAAACUCUGUUGUUAGAGAAGAACAAGGACGUUAGUAACUGAACGUCCCCUGACGGUAUCUAACCAGAAAGCCACGGCUAACUACGUGCCAGCAGCCGCGGUAAUACGUAGGUGGCAAGCGUUGUCCGGAUUUAUUGGGCGUAAAGCGAGCGCAGGCGGUUUCUUAAGUCUGAUGUGAAAGCCCCCGGCUCAACCGGGGAGGGGCAUUGGAAACUGGGAGACUUGAGUGCAGAAGAGGAGAGUGGAAUUCCAUGUGUAGCGGUGAAAUGCGUAGAUAUAUGGAGGAACACCAGUGGCGAAGGCGGCUCUCUGGUCUGUUACUGACGCUGAGGCUCGAAAGCGUGGGGAGCAAACAGG
Molecule: ribosomal RNA, 429 nt
Filed under: Gemmatimonadota bacterium
Lineage: Bacteria; Pseudomonadati; Gemmatimonadota
Description: Gemmatimonadetes bacterium partial 16S ribosomal RNA
Rfam family: Bacterial small subunit ribosomal RNA
Source: RNAcentral